AGACCCGAAACCCGGUGAUCUAGCCAUGGGCAGGUUGAAGGUUGGGUAACACUAACUGGAGGACCGAACCGACUAAUGUUGAAAAAUUAGCGGAUGACCUGUGGCUGGGGGUGAAAGGCCAAUCAAACCGGGAGAUAGCUGGUUCUCCCCGAAAGCUAUUUAGGUAGCGCCUCGUGAAUUCAUCUCCGGGGGUAGAGCACUGUUUCGGCUAGGGGGCCAUCCCGGCUUACCAACCCGAUGCAAACUGCGAAUACCGGAGAAUGUUAUCACGGGAGACACACGGCGGGUGCUAACGUCCGUCGUGAAGAGGGAAACAACCCAGACCGCCAGCUAAGGUCCCAAAGUCAUGGUUAAGUGGGAAACGAUGUGGGAAGGCCCAGACAGCCAGGAUGUUGGCUUAGAAGCAGCCAUCAUUUAAAGAAAGCGUAAUAGCUCACUGGUCGAGUCGGCCUGCGCGGAAGAUGUAACGGGGCUAAACCAUGCACCGAAGCUGCGGCAGCGAACGUAUCACCCAAGACAACUUUACGGAGUUGACGAUUGACGGAGCGAAGCGACGUCAAAGCGUUCAUUAAAGUCGAGUUGGCUUAGGGAUACGUUCGUUGGGUAGGGGAGCGUUCUGUAAGCCUGUGAAGGUGUGUCGUGAGGCAUGCUGGAGGUAUCAGAAGUGCGAAUGCUGACAUAAGUAACGAUAAAGCGGGUGAAAAGCCCGCUCGCCGGAAGACCAAGGGUUCCUGUCCAACGUUAAUCGGGGCAGGGUGAGUCGACCCCUAAGGCGAGGCCGAAAGGCGUAGUCGAUGGGAAACGGGUUAAUAUUCCCGUACUUGGUGUUACUGCGAAGGGGGGACGGAGAAGGCUAUGUUGGCCGGGCGACGGUUGUCCCGGUUUAAGGGUGUAGGUGUGUGUUCCAGGUAAAUCCGGUUCACUUUAACACUG
This 933-nucleotide ribosomal RNA is filed under the name Salmonella enterica subsp. enterica serovar Typhimurium. Its description in RNAcentral is "partial 23S ribosomal RNA". It matches the Rfam family "Bacterial large subunit ribosomal RNA", at positions 711 to 1558 of the family's 2925-position model. Lineage: Bacteria; Pseudomonadati; Pseudomonadota; Gammaproteobacteria; Enterobacterales; Enterobacteriaceae. The record is from RNAcentral.